Molecule: ribosomal RNA, 228 nt
Filed under: uncultured bacterium
Lineage: Bacteria
Description: partial 16S ribosomal RNA
Rfam family: Bacterial small subunit ribosomal RNA
Source: RNAcentral
UGAGCAAUCUGCCCUUCUCAUCGGAAUAAGCGUUGGAAACGACGUCUAAUGCCGAAUACGACCUCCUUUCGCAUGAUCGGAGGUGGAAAGCUCCGGCGGAGAAGGAUGAGCUCGCGGCCUAUCAGCUAGUUGGUGUGGGUAACGGCUCACCAAGGCGACGACGGGUAGCUGGUCUGAGAGGAUGGCCAGCCACAUUGGGACUGAGACACGGCCCAGACUCCUACGGGG